GCAGCAGUAAAGAAUGAAUAACCCCUCAUCUUCAUCUGCAGCUACUCUCCAAAAUCUCACUGUAACAACAACACACUAUCAUGUGCUUUUUCAGUUAAAAACAAGAAACCCCAUCACAAAUUUUUUGUUGCAUUUGCUUACAAAAAACUAAAAACAAUUAGAAUCAUGUGCUUUCAGUGAAAAACAAGAAACCCCAUAUCAAUUAUUAG
This 209-nucleotide unclassified non-coding RNA is filed under the name Hevea brasiliensis (rubber tree). Lineage: Eukaryota; Viridiplantae; Streptophyta; Magnoliopsida; Malpighiales; Euphorbiaceae. The record is from RNAcentral.